Molecule: small RNA, 81 nt
Filed under: Lactobacillus panisapium
Lineage: Bacteria; Bacillati; Bacillota; Bacilli; Lactobacillales; Lactobacillaceae
Description: SMK box translational riboswitch (SAM-III)
Rfam family: SAM-III riboswitch aptamer (SMK box)
Source: RNAcentral
UCGGUUCAAGUCCUGAGAGGAUCCAAGAUUUGGAGAUGCCUUGUAACCGAAUAGCUAACGUCUAUUAAGGGGGACUAUUAU